CUCUCUCUCCACAGGAAUAUAGAUCCCAUAGGCAUAUACAGGACUCUCUCUCUCUCUCUCUCUCUCUCUCUCUCUCUCUCUCUCUCUCUCUUUCUCACAGCACAGGAACACACAGGAUGUCACCCACACAGUAUGUUUUAUAUACCACACAGUCACAUACCCCAGUCACAUAUAUACAGCACUUGUCAAACCACCGUCUCUCUCUCUCCACAGGAAUAUAGACCCCACAGGCAUAUACAGGACUCUCUCUCUCUCUCUCUCUCUCUCUCUCUCUCUCUCACAGCACACAGGAACGCACAGGAUGUCACCCACACAGUAUGUUUUAUAUACCACACAGUCACAUACCCCAGUCACAUAUAUACAGCACUCGUCAAACCAGCGUCUCUCUCUCCUUCCCUCUCUCUCUCUCCACAGGAAUAUAGACCCCACAGGCAUAUACAGGACUCUCUCUCUCUCUCUCUCUCUCUCUCUCUCUCUCUCUCUCUCUCUCUCUCUCUCUC
Molecule: long non-coding RNA, 500 nt
Organism: Eriocheir sinensis (Chinese mitten crab)
Lineage: Eukaryota; Metazoa; Arthropoda; Malacostraca; Decapoda; Varunidae
Exons: 2
Source: RefSeq, a predicted model, not a curated record